ACAUAAGUAACGAUAAAGCGGGUGAAAAGCCCGCUCGCCGGAAGACCAAGGGUUCCUGUCCAACGUUAAUCGGGGCAGGGUGAGUCGACCCCUAAGGCGAGGCCGAAAGGCGUAGUCGAUGGGAAACAGGUUAAUAUUCCUGUACUUGGUGUUACUGCGAAGGGGGGACGGAGAAGGCUAUGUUGGCCGGGCGACGGUUGUCCCGGUUUAAGCGUGUAGGCUGGUUUUCCAGGCAAAUCCGGAAAAUCAAGGCUGAGGCGUGAUGACGAGGCACUACGGUGCUGAAGCAACAAAUGCCCUGCUUCCAGGAAAAGCCUCUAAGCAUCAGGUAACAUCAAAUCGUACCCCAAACCGACACAGGUGGUCAGGUAGAGAAUAC
Molecule: ribosomal RNA, 379 nt
Filed under: Salmonella enterica subsp. enterica serovar Anatum
Lineage: Bacteria; Pseudomonadati; Pseudomonadota; Gammaproteobacteria; Enterobacterales; Enterobacteriaceae
Also listed under: 2 other names
Description: partial 23S ribosomal RNA
Rfam family: Bacterial large subunit ribosomal RNA
Source: RNAcentral